Molecule: long non-coding RNA, 718 nt
Organism: Micropterus dolomieu (smallmouth bass)
Lineage: Eukaryota; Metazoa; Chordata; Actinopteri; Centrarchiformes; Centrarchidae
Exons: 2
Source: RefSeq, a predicted model, not a curated record
CUUAUUUAAAGCAGCUGCAGUAUCAUGGCUGCCUGUUUGUUGCCACAUGAACCCUCUGACGUCUAGUUUGGCUGAUUCCAAGGUUCCCUGUCUGGAGUGGCGUGAUGUAUUGUUCCUCACACAGCACCCUGUGUUAAGUGGUGCUAGUGUUCGGCUUUUGGUGGAGGCUGGGCACGCUGGUCUGGGUUCCUUCACUGAUUGUAGUGUUAAUGCCACUGGGGCCCCAUUUGGCAGUGAGCACAUGCGGUGGGUAAGCUGGUGCACCCCUGGAGCACACUCUUAGUUAGUGCCUCCCCACAGCUGGCCCUGGAGCCCACUCCGCUUUUUUGUUUGGUUCAAUAAGUAAUAACUGGGAGUGUGUUGUUAAAAAUAAAAGAACUUGUUUGCCAAACUUGUAAAACUUGUAAAAACUACUAUUCCAUUGUAAUUUGAUUAUUUAUUUGUAUUAUUCACCAUCCUCUUUUCAGGCGCUUCCAGCUACUGAUUAUUAAUAAAGAGCAUUUCCUGGGAUGGAAGUCCCCAGGUGGUGUCGGAUAGUUAGAUUCUGGUGGUGAUUCCUCUUUUAGCGCCGCCACGAGACUGGCAACUGUUGUGAAUUAUUUUGGAGCUUUAUAGCCUGAAUUGUUCUCAUUAAUUACUAGAGCGAUGGUGGUCUACACUGUCAUCAUGUAAAGUGUUAUUUUCUAGUGUAAAGUUAGAUCACAGUGUGAAAACUCUA